UACGUAGGGUGCAAGCGUUAAUCGGAAUUACUGGGCGUAAAGCGUGCGCAGGCGGUUUUGUGAGUCUGUCGUGAAAUCCCCGGGCUCAACCUGGGAAUGGCGAUGGAGACUGCAAGGCUAGAGUUUGGCAGAGGGGGGUAGAAUUCCACGUGUAGCAGUGAAAUGCGUAGAUAUGUGGAGGAACACCAACGGCGAAGGCAGCUCGCUGGGACGGUACUGACGCUAAGGCGCGAAAGCGUGGGGAGCGAACAGG
Molecule: ribosomal RNA, 253 nt
Filed under: uncultured bacterium
Lineage: Bacteria
Description: partial 16S ribosomal RNA
Rfam family: Bacterial small subunit ribosomal RNA
Source: RNAcentral